Prosopis cineraria is the source of this 1724-nucleotide RNA transcript. It is a transcript of the gene named protein RMD5 homolog, with no coding region annotated. The record is from RefSeq and is a predicted model, not a curated record. NCBI's taxonomy places the organism in Eukaryota, Viridiplantae, Streptophyta, Magnoliopsida, Fabales, Fabaceae. The transcript has 3 exons.
AAAUCAUAGCUAUUGACUUCCUGCGAAAACUUUGCCAUUGGCAAUUUGGGAUUCAGAUUUUGUCUCAGACAAGUUUUCUUUCGCACGUGUGGGUGUCUCCCAUUCAGAUUUCUCACUCGCACACGCAUUUACAAGCCUGCAUUCCUCGCCUCUCUCGUGCUCUUUGCUCUUCGCUUCUCCGACUGUUUUUCAGUAGUUUCUUACUAGAGCAUCAAAGAUGGAGCUGAACAGCAUUAGAGAUGCAUUUGACCGUGUAUCUAAGAAGCAAAAGUUAUCUACCUCCAAGUUCCAAGAAGUCAUUGAUCAGGUGGGGCUUGAAAUUAAGCAGGCUUUGGCAAAAAUUCAGUCAGCCAAUGAUUCAGCCCCUGUUGACCAGAAAUCUAUACUUACAGACCUCAAGUUUAAACUUAAUGCUAUUGGGGUGCUUCAACAGUUUGAAGGACCACAGAAAGAAUUGAACAUAAGUCUUACCAAGUACCAAAAGCUUCUGGAGAAAUCCUUAAAUCCUGAUGUAUCCAAGGCAUACAGAAAUGUUGACUUUGACUUUCACAUUGUGAAUCAGAUUAUUGCAAACCAUUUUUACCGUCAAGGGCUAUUUGAUCUUGGAGAUACCAUCAUAAAUGAGGCUGGGGAAGUUAAUACAAAUUCACUAAGAUCUCAAUUCUUGGAAAUGCAUCAGAUUCUUGAGGCUAUGAGAGUUAAGAACCUUCAACCUGCUCUCACAUGGGUCUCUACCAACCAAGAUAAACUUGUCCAGAGUGGUUCCAAUCUUGAGCUUAAGCUUCAUACGCUGCAGUUUGUAGAGGUUUUGCAAAAUGGAACUCGAGCCGAUGCCUUAAAAUAUGCCCGAACUUAUCUUGCUCCUUUUGCUUCCCUCCACAAGGAUGAGUUCCAAAAGCUUAUGGGUUGCCUCUUGUAUGCAGGAAGGCUUGACAGCUCCCCUUAUUCUGAGUUGAUGUCCCAGAUCCAUUGGGAGAGGACUACCGAGGAGCUGACCCGGCAGUUCUGCAUUCUCUUGGGACAGUCCUAUGAGAGCCCAUUGAGUGUGGCAAUUGCUGCUGGAGUUGAAGGGUUGCCUACACUCUUAAAGCUGGCAAAUGUAAUGGCAGCAAAGAAGCAAGAAUGGCAGGCUAUGAAACAGUUGCCAGUGCCUGUAGAAUUGGGGAAAGAAUUUCAAUUUCAUUCUAUUUUUGUCUGCCCUGUAAGUCGUGACCAAGCGAGUGAAGAGAAUCCUCCCAUGUUGCUUCCGUGUUUACAUGUUCUUUGCAAGCAAUCAAUCAUGAAGUUGUCAAAAAGCAGCACCCGAACGUUCAAGUGUCCCUACUGUCCUGCAGAAGCUACAGUUGCACAGUGCAGACAGCUCUACUUCUGAUUUGUGUUUAUGAACAGACUCAAAAUUGGUGUGUGCAGUGCAUUUUUAGCAUUCAAAUCCCCCUGAAUUUCUGGCAUGAUGGAUUGAUUGGGAUUCAAGGACAUGGAUUGUAUAUGAAGAAAGUUACAUGGACAAUUCUGUGUGUGCGCAUUUGCAAGUUAUUAAAUUGCGCAGAGUAAUUGCAUUCAUAUUUAGGCAUUACAAACUCUGGUGUAAUGCUACAGUUGUUUAUGAUUAAUUAGAUAUUGGACGAGGAAAGGGAGUCUUGUUUUUAUCUUGAGUCACAAGAAAGAAUGUUAAUCCUGUAUAUUUUAACAGGCCUUUCAAACUGUUUUUGGUCACAUUCUCGUGU